Molecule: long non-coding RNA, 907 nt
Organism: Lemur catta (Ring-tailed lemur)
Lineage: Eukaryota; Metazoa; Chordata; Mammalia; Primates; Lemuridae
Exons: 2
Source: RefSeq, a predicted model, not a curated record
CCUGAGCAGAGGUAAGGGAAGAUCUUACGACCUUCUCCGAAGUCCUAAAAGCGUCCUUCGUAGUCCGCCCGCUUCCUGGCAGCCUCACCCUACUGGCUUCCAGGAGAGCUUUGCAGCGGUGUAGGGAAAACCUUGUUGCAAAGUCCAAGCCCAGGCGAGUGGGCGAGACGCGCGGAGGGGCAUGGGUGAGUGGGCACCUUCGCAGCACCCUCUACACAGCAUUUCUUCCCCCACUGCUCAGAGGACUGGAAAUUUAGACAAAUGCCGCGCAGCCCGUUUCGGAACAGAGGUGGUCGAACGUCUGUCCGUUAAAAUCUGGAUCAUUAGAACCCAAACAAUGUACUCGUGUGGGAACGCAAAAGCAUUUCCCACGGCGUGGAUAUGCAGCGGCAGAGGUGCAGGCCUGAAGUGCUGCCAUCCCCCGGAACUCCCACCCGCUCCCUGGAGACACGGGGGAGUUCGCCUCGAGCUGACCCCGCGGCAGAACGGAGGCGGCUCCCAGAAAUGCACUAAUUGAGUCACAAACCACUGGCUGCCCCUAACAAAGCGAUCUAUCUCGGCAGCUCAGCUCCCAAUUUGUCCGCAGCACUUUCUUCCGCAAUUCAGAAGCAUUAUCUUGUUUUAAAAAGUAUCGCGGCAGAGACGUGGCAAUUAUCCUGGGCUCGGGUUACACUAAAUGGCUUAGGCUGAGAAAUGGAAGAAUACAAAUGCCGCGAACGUGCUGAUCUCGCUGCCGAUCCUGGACCGGGGGUAGAGGAGGCAAGCGAGAGCUUUCGUCCGGGAGAGGGAGUGGGAGUGCAUUUUUGAGUCGCUUUGGGUCUUCUCUCCAGGACUAUGGGGCAAUGGAGUGGACAUUUUUGCAGAAUCUGCAGAGGAGUAAUAAACCAAAUUUUAAUUGAAGCAGUGA